UUGUACACACCGCCCGUCACACCAUGAGAGUUUGUAACACCCAAAGUCGGUGAGGUAACCUUUGGAGCCAGCCGCCUAAGGUGGGACAGAUGAUUAGGGUGAAGUCGUAACAAGGUAGCCGUAGGAGAACCUGCGGCUGGAUCACCUCCUUUCUAAGGAA
RNAcentral lists this ribosomal RNA (160 nucleotides) under Lactobacillus jensenii MD IIE-70(2). Its description in RNAcentral is "partial 16S ribosomal RNA". It matches the Rfam family "Bacterial small subunit ribosomal RNA", at positions 1381 to 1533 of the family's 1533-position model. The record is from RNAcentral. Lineage: Bacteria; Bacillati; Bacillota; Bacilli; Lactobacillales; Lactobacillaceae.